AAGAAAGGAUUAUGAAAUACAGAGACUGCUAAUUAUCUGAACCUAGAGUUAAAAUCUUUAGUCUUCUUA
This 69-nucleotide transfer RNA is filed under the name Lissotriton vulgaris schmidtlerorum. Its description in RNAcentral is "tRNA-Ser". Lineage: Eukaryota; Metazoa; Chordata; Amphibia; Caudata; Salamandridae. The record is from RNAcentral.